Molecule: non-coding RNA, 175 nt
Filed under: human gut metagenome
Description: Lysine riboswitch
Rfam family: Lysine riboswitch aptamer
About the family: Riboswitches are metabolite binding domains within certain messenger RNAs that serve as precision sensors for their corresponding targets.
Source: RNAcentral
CAAUAGAGGCGCGAAAGACAGGGUACGGUCCGACAGCGGAGCGGGCGGCCUGGAUGGUCGGACGGGAAGGGGUCUUUCGCCGAAAGGAAGCGGUGUGCCCACUCUGUUUCCUUGGCAGCGCCGCGUAAACGGUGUUGCUGUCAUGUUGAGUGUAUCGACAUGGAGCGCUAUUGGU